UACGUAGGGGGCAAGCGUUGUCCGGAUUUAUUGGGCGUAAAGAGCGUGUAGGCGGCCAGACAGGUCCGUUGUGAAAACUCGAGGCUCAACCUCGAGAUGUCGAUGGAAACCGUCUGGCUAGAGUCCGGAAGAGGAGUGUGGAAUUCCUGGUGUAGCGGUGAAAUGCGUAGAUAUCGGGAGGAACACCUGAGAUGUAGAUGGCUUACUGGACCGUAACUGACGCUGAGGCACGAAAGCGUGGGUAGCAAACAGG
This 253-nucleotide ribosomal RNA is filed under the name uncultured bacterium. RNAcentral describes it as "partial 16S ribosomal RNA". It matches the Rfam family "Bacterial small subunit ribosomal RNA", at positions 524 to 776 of the family's 1533-position model. The record is from RNAcentral.